AGGCGGGCGACUUAUCGCGUUAACUUCGCCACAAAGGWGUCGCUAGGCACCCAACGGCUGGUCGACAUCGGUUUACGGSGUGGACUACCAGGGGUAUCUAAUCCUGKUUGCUACCCAMGCUUUCGCACCUCAKUGUCAGUGKCAGUCCAGAAGGCCGSCUUCGCCACUGGKAUUCCUCCCGAUCUCUACGCAUUUCACCGCUACACCGGGAAUUCUACCUUCCUCUCCWGCACUCUAGCAUGACAGUUCCGGAUGCCGUUCCCAGGUUGARCCCGGGGMUUUCACAACCGGMUUAWCAAGCCACCUARGCGCGCUUUACGCCCAGUAAUUCCGAUUAACGCUUGSACCCUCCGUAUUACCGCGGCUGCUGGCACGGAGUUAGCCGGWGCUUCUUCUGCGAGUGAUGUCUUUCCUGGCGGGUAUUAACCGCCAGGCGUUCUUCCUCGCUGAAAGUGCUUUACAACCCGARGGCCUUCUUCACACACGCGGCAUGGMUGGAUMAGGCUUGCGCCCAUUGUCMAAUAUUCCCCACUGCUGCCUCUCGUAGGC
This 549-nucleotide ribosomal RNA is filed under the name uncultured Halomonas sp. RNAcentral describes it as "partial 16S ribosomal RNA". Lineage: Bacteria; Pseudomonadati; Pseudomonadota; Gammaproteobacteria; Oceanospirillales; Halomonadaceae. The record is from RNAcentral.